RNAcentral lists this ribosomal RNA (441 nucleotides) under uncultured bacterium. Its description in RNAcentral is "partial 16S ribosomal RNA". It matches the Rfam family "Bacterial small subunit ribosomal RNA", at positions 338 to 795 of the family's 1533-position model. The record is from RNAcentral.
CCUACGGGAGGCUGCAGUGGGGGAUAUUGCACAAUGGGGGAAACCCUGAUGCAGCGACGCCGCGUGGGUGAAGAAGUAUUUCGGUAUGUAAAGCCCUAUCAGCAGGGAAGAAAGAAGACGGUACCUGACUAAGAAGCCCCGGCUAACUACGUGCCAGCAGCCGCGGUAAUACGUAGGGGGCGAGCGUUAUCCGGAUUCACUGGGUGUAAAGGGAGCGUAGACGGCCGUGCAAGCCAGGAGUGAAAGCCCGGGGCACAACCCCGGGACUGCUCUUGGAACUGUGCGGCUGGAGUGCGGGAGGGGCAGGCGGAAUGCCUGGUGUAGCGGUGAAAUGCGUAGAUAUCAGGAGGAACACCGGCGGCGAAGGCGGCCUGCUGGACCGCGACUGACGUUGAGGCUCGAAAGCGUGGGGAGCGAACAGGAUUAGAUACCCUAGUAGUC